RNAcentral lists this ribosomal RNA (519 nucleotides) under uncultured bacterium. RNAcentral's name for it is "bacterial SSU rRNA". It matches the Rfam family "Bacterial small subunit ribosomal RNA", at positions 19 to 528 of the family's 1533-position model. The record is from RNAcentral.
CUGGCUCAGAACGAACGCUGGCGGCGUGGAUAAGACAUGCAAGUCGAACGGGACAUUGUGAGUAGCAAUACGAGCAGUGUCUAGUGGCGAACGGGUGCGUAACACGUGGAUACAUUCCGGGAAGCGGGGGAUAGCCCAGGGAAACUUGGAUUAAUACCGCAUGUGGUCGAAAGACUAAAGGCAGGGACCGCAAGGCCUGCCACUUCCCGAUUGGUCCGCGGCCUAUCAGCUAGUUGGCGGGGUAAAAGCCCACCAAGGCUACGACGGGUAGCUGGUCUUAGAGGACGACCAGCCACACUGGAACUGAGACACGGUCCAGACACCUACGGGUGGCAGCAGUCGAGAAUCUUUCACAAUGGGGGCAACCCUGAUGGAGCGACGCCGCGUGGAGGAUAAGGUCUUCGGAUUGUAAACUCCUGUCAUGUGUGAACAAGGUUGUCUUGUUAAUAGCGAGGCAAAUUGAUGGUAACACAAGAGGAAGAGACGGCUAACUCUGUGCCAGCAGCCGCGGUAAUACAG